This is a non-coding RNA of Delphinapterus leucas (beluga whale), 657 nucleotides long. NCBI's taxonomy places the organism in Eukaryota, Metazoa, Chordata, Mammalia, Artiodactyla, Monodontidae. The record is from RefSeq and is a predicted model, not a curated record.
AUGACCCAGAGCCCCUCCCAUUCCAACAGAUUCCCGGCCUGCCUUCUGCCUGGAACCUCAUCACACGGGUCCCUGCAGGGCCCGGAAGAUCAGGUACUUCUACAAUGCCAAGUCCGGGCACUGCGACAUCUUUGUAUAUGGCGGCUGCUUUGCAAAGAAGAACAACUUCCCAACAGCACAAGACUGCAUGAAGACCUGCGGUGGUCAUGUGGGGACCCACGGAGGACCUGCGAACUGUGCUCUCCCGAAACUCUGAAGUCAAGGAGGACACACACAGGGCUGGGCUGUGGCUGCUUCUGAAACAGUGUGAUCUCCUCUGAGUCUGUCUCAACCCCACCCACCUCAGCAGAACCCUGGCUCUCUCCUUCCCCCAUGGGUCUACUUGCUUUAGCUCUGUCUCAUCCAGUCGGCUCUAAGCACCAUGAGAACAAGUCUUCCCUUUAUCCUUAGCACUUAGCACAGUUCCUGGCACGAAGGAGAUGGUCCAUAAUUACUUGAGGAAGGAAAGAAUGAAUGCAGGUGCACAUUCCUCACAGUGGCUGAGGUCUUUUCAAUAAAGAAGCCCCUUUCCCUCACAGUGAUGUUGCUCAUUUUCCUAUCUGUGGCUUCAAGCUGUCUGUCUUAUAUUCCAAUAAAUUCAUGUUCAAAUUAAACUAA